RNAcentral lists this ribosomal RNA (207 nucleotides) under uncultured bacterium. Its description in RNAcentral is "partial 16S ribosomal RNA". It matches the Rfam family "Bacterial small subunit ribosomal RNA", at positions 568 to 774 of the family's 1533-position model. The record is from RNAcentral.
AUCGUAGGUGGUUUGUUAAGUUGGAUGUGAAAUCCCGGGGCUCAACCUCGGAACUGCAUCCAAAACUGACGGACUUGAGUUCGGGAGGGGUAAGCGGAAUUCCGUGUGUAGCAGUGAAAUGCGUAGAUAUACGGAGGAACACCUGAGGCGAAGGCGGCUUACUGGACCGAUACUGACACUGAGGAUCGAAAGCGUGGGUAGCAAACA